This 484-nucleotide ribosomal RNA is filed under the name uncultured bacterium. RNAcentral describes it as "partial 16S ribosomal RNA". It matches the Rfam family "Bacterial small subunit ribosomal RNA", at positions 28 to 507 of the family's 1533-position model. The record is from RNAcentral.
AUUGAACGCUGGCGGCAUGCUUUACACAUGCAAGUCGAACGGCAGCGCGGGCUUCGGCCUGGCGGCGAGUGGCGAACGGGUGAGUAAUGCAUCGGAACGUGCCCAGUAGUGGGGGAUAGCCCAGCGAAAGCCGGAUUAAUACCGCAUACGACCUGAGGGUGAAAGCGGGGGACCGAAAGGCCUCGCGCUAUUGGAGCGGCCGAUGUCGGAUUAGCUAGUUGGUGGGGUAAAGGCUUACCAAGGCGACGAUCCGUAGCUGGUCUGAGAGGACGACCAGCCACACUGGGACUGAGACACGGCCCAGACUCCUACGGGAGGCAGCAGUGGGGAAUUUUGGACAAUGGGGGCAACCCUGAUCCAGCCAUGCCGCGUGCGGGAAGAGGGCCUUCGGGUUGUAAACCGCUUUUGUUCGGGAAGAAAUCCUCUGGGCUAAUACCCCGGGGGGAUGACGGUACCGGAAGAAUAAGCACCGGCUAACUACGUG